This 485-nucleotide ribosomal RNA is filed under the name uncultured bacterium. RNAcentral describes it as "partial 16S ribosomal RNA". It matches the Rfam family "Bacterial small subunit ribosomal RNA", at positions 30 to 507 of the family's 1533-position model. The record is from RNAcentral.
AUUGAACGCUGGCGGCAGGCUUAACACAUGCAAGUCGAGCGGAGAUGAGGUGCUUGCACCUUAUCUUAGCGGCGGACGGGUGAGUAAUGCUUAGGAAUCUGCCAUUUAGUGGGGGACAACAUUCCGAAAGGAAUGCUAAUACCGCAUACGUCCUACGGGAGAAAGCAGGGGAUCUUCGGACCUUGCGCUAAAUGAUGAGCCUAAGUCGGAUUAGCUAGUUGGUGGGGUAAAGGCCUACCAAGGCGACGAUCUGUAGCGGGUCUGAGAGGAUGAUCCGCCACACUGGGACUGAGACACGGCCCAGACUCCUACGGGAGGCAGCAGUGGGGAAUAUUGGACAAUGGGGGGAACCCUGAUCCAGCCAUGCCGCGUGUGUGAAGAGGGCCUUAUGGUUGUAAAGCACUUUAAGCGAGGAGGAGGCUACUGAGACUAAUACUCUUGGAUAGUGGACGUUACUCGCAGAAUAAGCACCGGCUAACUCUGUG